AACAGAGGAGAUAGGUGCUAAGUGCAUCCUAAAACGUCCCCCGGCAGCUAUAAGCCUAUAGCAGCAUAUCAAGGGGCUGGACCAGGUGAACCUGAUUCAGCCCUAACUAUAAGCUCUGUCAAAGAGGAAGGUCUUAAAUGACAGAGAUAUAAAUGUAUGUUAUGUUAUUGCUUACCGUAUCUUAAACUCAACAAUCAGAGGAGCUUCCCGAACUCCGCGUUCCCACCCGAAGGUUGUGUUAUGUGUUUGGGGAGUCUGAUAAGGAAGUGAUAAUAAACCAGACGGAAGGAAUAUGUCAACUUGUCCUCAGUUCCACUUCUCCUUUGUUGUUGUGUGUGUGUGUGAUAAGCUUUCAAUAAAAGGCUGGACCAAAGGGGUGCUCGGCGGAAUGUCUUGGAGGUCGUCGUGUUCAGAGCAUAGGCGACUGAGCUUCCCCUUUGGCCAAAGCUUUGGUCAAAGAUA
Long non-coding RNA from Pseudoliparis swirei, 462 nucleotides. RefSeq lists it as uncharacterized. NCBI's taxonomy places the organism in Eukaryota, Metazoa, Chordata, Actinopteri, Perciformes, Liparidae. The transcript has 2 exons. The record is from RefSeq and is a predicted model, not a curated record.